UACGGGAGGCAGCAGGGGGGAAUAUUGCACAAUGGGCGCAAGCCUGAUGCAGCCAUGCCGCGUGUAUGAAGAAGGCCUUCGGGUUGUAAAGUACUUUCAGUCGUGAGGAAGGUGUUAAGGUUAAUAACCUUAGCAAUUGACGUUAGCGACAGAAGAAGCACCGGCUAACUCCGUGCCAGCAGCCGCGGUAAUACGGAGGGUGCGAGCGUUAAUCGGAAUUACUGGGCGUAAAGGGCACGCAGGCGGUUAAUUAAGUUGGAUGUGAAAUCCCCGGGCUUAACCUGGGAAUGGCAUUCAAGCUGGUUAGCUAGAGUCUUGUAGAGGGGGUAGAAUUCCAUGUGUAGCGGUGAAAUGCGUAGAGAUGUGGAGGAAUACCGGUGGCGAAGGCGGCCCCUGGACAAAGACUGACGCUCAUGUGCGAAAGCGUGGGGAGCAAACGAGGGAUUAGAUACC
Molecule: ribosomal RNA, 453 nt
Filed under: uncultured bacterium
Lineage: Bacteria
Description: bacterial SSU rRNA
Rfam family: Bacterial small subunit ribosomal RNA
Source: RNAcentral